This 467-nucleotide ribosomal RNA is filed under the name uncultured bacterium. RNAcentral describes it as "partial 16S ribosomal RNA". It matches the Rfam family "Bacterial small subunit ribosomal RNA", at positions 28 to 507 of the family's 1533-position model. The record is from RNAcentral.
GACGAACGCUGGCGGCGUGCUUAACACAUGCAAGUCGAACGGAAAGGCCCUGCUUUUGUGGGGUGCUCGAGUGGCGAACGGGUGAGUAACACGUGAGUAACCUGCCCUUGACUUUGGGAUAACUUCAGGAAACUUGGGCUAAUACCGGAUAGGAGCUCCUGCUGCAUGGUGGGGGUUGGAAAGUUUCGGCGGUGGGGGAUGGACUCGCGGCUUAUCAGCUUGUUGGUGGGGUAGUGGCUUACCAAGGCGAUGACGGGUAGCCGGCCUGAGAGGGUGACCGGCCACAAGGGGACGGAGAGACGGCCCGGAGUCCGACGGGAGGCAACAGUGGGGAAGAUGGGACAAUGGACCGAGAGUCUGAUCCAGCAAUUCUGUGUGCACGAUGAAGUUUUUCGGAAUGUAAAGGGCUUGCAGGUGGGAAGAAACAAAGGACGGUACCAACAGAAGAAGUGACGGCUAAAUACGUG